Molecule: long non-coding RNA, 555 nt
Organism: Crotalus tigris (Tiger rattlesnake)
Lineage: Eukaryota; Metazoa; Chordata; Lepidosauria; Squamata; Viperidae
Exons: 3
Source: RefSeq, a predicted model, not a curated record
UCAUUCGAUCAUCCACAAAGCAACGUUCCAACAAUGAAGUUCAUGUGACUGGUAAUUCGCAAAAAAAUAUCUGUCAAGUGUGUUGCACCUUUCACCAAUCAGCAGAGGCCAUUAUGUGGGAAUUUGCGUAGGAAAAUGAGUGGAAUGCAAGUCACAGAAGUUUGGAAUUGUAUUGCUGGGCAUGACUGGGCAAAAACAAUCACCUUUGCUCUGCUUUGUGUGUUCGUGGAUCACCACCAAGCCUGGAAAGAUGUGCGUCCCUGACUGAAGAACAAUCUACCAGAAGGAAGACAGCAAAUAGAUACUAACAAUCUUAAAGUGUGAGAUGAUGCCCUGCACCGUAGCGACACCUGGUGGUGGCCAUGCAGAUCGCACAAUUUUCAAAAGAAGACCUGAGGCAAGUAAACCUGCUUUAAGAACUCUUUAAGAGAGAAGGGAGGGAGAGCUGGUAGUUUCAUUUCUCUAUUGAUCCUUAGGAUGUUGUUGUAACAUAUAAUAGGAGAAGUACCUUAUACAAGAGAAUAAACUUUCUGGAAUUGAAAAUAUUGCUUUAUU